GACGAACGCUGGCGGCGUGCUUAACACAUGCAAGUCGAGCGGAAAGGCCACUUCGGUGGUACUCGAGCGGCGAACGGGUGAGUAACACGUGAGUAAUCUGCCCCUGGCUUUGGGAUAGCCACCGGAAACGGUGAUUAAUACCGGAUACGACCACUUCUCGCAUGGGAUGGUGGUGGAAAGUUUUUUCGGCCAGGGAUGUGCUCGCGGCCUAUCAGCUUGAUGGUGAGGUAAUGGCUCACCAUGGCUUCGACGGGUAGCCGGCCUGCGAGGGUGACCGGUCACACUGGGACUGAGACCCGGCCCAGACUCCUACGGGGGGCAGCAGUGGGGAAUAGUGGACAAUGGGCGGAGGCCUGAUCCAGCAACGCCGCGUGAGGGAUGACGGCCUUCGGGUUGUAAACCUCUUUCAGCAGGGACGAAGCGCGAGUGACGGUACCUGCAGAAGAAGCACCGGCCAACUACGUGCCAGCAGCCGCGGUAA
Molecule: ribosomal RNA, 481 nt
Filed under: uncultured bacterium
Lineage: Bacteria
Description: partial 16S ribosomal RNA
Rfam family: Bacterial small subunit ribosomal RNA
Source: RNAcentral